This 931-nucleotide ribosomal RNA is filed under the name uncultured bacterium. RNAcentral's name for it is "bacterial SSU rRNA". It matches the Rfam family "Bacterial small subunit ribosomal RNA", at positions 60 to 1005 of the family's 1533-position model. The record is from RNAcentral.
AGUCGAGCGAUGAGAUCACUUCGGUGAAGGAUUAGCGGCGAACGGGUGAGGAACACGUGAAGAAUCUGCCUUCAACUCUGGGAUAACUCCGGGAAACCGGGGCUAAUACCGGAUAUGAGCCUUGAUCGCAUGAUCGGGGCUGGAAAGUUUUUCGGUUGAAGAUGACUUCGCGGCCUAUCAGCUUGUUGGUGAGGUAAUGGCUCACCAAGGCGACGACGGGUAGCCGGCCUGAGAGGGCGACCGGCCACACUGGGACUGAGACACGGCCCAGACUCCUACGGGAGGCAGCAGUGGGGAAUAUUGGGCAAUGGAGGAAACUCUGACCCAGCGACGCCGCGUGCGGGAUGAAGGCCUUCGGGUUGUAAACCGCUUUCAGCAGGGAAUAAGCGCAAGUGAAGGUACCUGCAGAAGAAGCACCGGCUAACUAUGUGUCAGCAGCCGCGGUAAUACAUAGGGUGCAAGCGUUGUCCGGAAUUAUUGGGCGUAAAGAGCUCGUAGGUGGUUUGUUACGUCGGUUGUGAAAUUCAGGGGCUCAACCCCUGACUUGCAGCCGAUACGGGCAAGCUAGAGUUUGGUAGGGGAGACUGGAAUUCCUGGUGUAGCGGUGGAAUGCGCAGAUAUCAGGAGGAACACCGAUGGCGAAGGCAGGUCUCUGGGCCAAUACUGACACUGAGGAGCGAAAGCGUGGGGAGCGAACAGGAUUAGAUACCCUGGUAGUCCACGCCGUAAACGGUGGGCGCUAGUCGUGCGAACCUUCCACGGUUUGUGCGACGCAGCUAACGCAUUAAGCGCCCCGCCUGGGGAGUACGAUCGCAAGAUUAAAACUCAAAGGAAUUGACGGGGCCCCGCACAAGCAGCGGAGCAUGCGGCUUAAUUCGACGCAACGCGAAGAACCUUACCAAGGCUUGACAUAUACAGGAAUAUGGCAGAG